GAUGAAGAACUUAGUAAAAUGCGAUAAGUAAUGUGAAUUGCAGAAUUCAGUGAAUCAUCGAAUCUUUGAACGCACAUUGCGCCCGCCAGUACUCUGGCGGGCAUGCCUGUCCGAGCGUCAUUUCAACCCUCAGGGCCCUCCAGCAGGGCGCUGGUGUUGGGGAUCGGCAGUCCCAGCGGCUGCCGUCCCUGAAAUGUAGUGGCGGUCCCACCGUGACCUCCCCUGUGCAGUACAUCGCUCGCAGAGGGACAGCGGUGCGGCCACGCCGUAAAACGCCCAACUCUUCAAGGUUGACCUCGGAUCAGGUAGGACUACCCGCUGAACUUAAGCAUAUCAAUAAGCGGAGGA
This 348-nucleotide unclassified non-coding RNA is filed under the name soil metagenome. Its description in RNAcentral is "partial contains 5.8S ribosomal RNA, internal transcribed spacer 2, and large subunit ribosomal RNA". The stretch from base 1 to 120 matches the Rfam family "5.8S ribosomal RNA", at positions 35 to 154 of the family's 154-position model. The record is from RNAcentral.